CAUGAGUCCAUGACUGCUAUGAGCAUGCUGUAGUAGGGAUCACUUUUUCUUGAAUUGUGUGUGCAGUCCGGCGACAGUUUAAUCGCCAGCUUACCUUCUCUCUCGUUCCUUCUCGGUGCCAGCUCGUCAUCUUAUCCAACGUGACAGUCCUAUCGCCGGUGUUUCAGAUGUUAUUAGAGCACCCGCAAUGGUAAAGUAAGGUGCUCUCUAUAAAACAUGUAUAUCUCAGCAGUAGACUCGAU
RNAcentral lists this unclassified non-coding RNA (242 nucleotides) under Oryza sativa (Asian cultivated rice). The record is from RNAcentral. Lineage: Eukaryota; Viridiplantae; Streptophyta; Magnoliopsida; Poales; Poaceae.